AGGAUAUUCGAGCUCAAUAAGACAAGAAAGCCCUAAAGUUAGACCGGGUUCGAAUUGAUUAAUUGCUCGGUGUCUAAGGCAAGUGGUUUAAGAAGGUGGUUUUUAAUUGGUUCCGUUGUCUAACCUGGCCAACUCAGUUGGUGUCUAAGGAAAGCAACAAGCAGGGAACCUCCCACAUCUUACACUUACCUGGCCGAGAUAGUUAGUCAGUUUUGGGCUUGGAGUGCUUGAAGGCGAUCUUGGAACAGUUAGGAGCUGUCUAGAUCUAGGUUAAUCCUAGGAUAGAAAGUCUAUUUUGUGCUAACUUGUUUGCCAUUAAAAUUUAAACCUAAUUAAAACACUCUUCUCUUUCAUCUCUAGAUUUAGGACUCCUUAGGACUCAUCUCUAGAACUCUUUUCUCUCUCUUUCCACUUCUCUCUUCUCUUAAAAAAAAA
Molecule: long non-coding RNA, 435 nt
Filed under: Elaeis guineensis (African oil palm)
Lineage: Eukaryota; Viridiplantae; Streptophyta; Magnoliopsida; Arecales; Arecaceae
Description: long non-coding RNA (EGUI_LNC004108)
Source: RNAcentral